UACAGAGGUGGCAAGCGUUGUCCGGAAUUAUUGGGCGUAAAGGGCCCGUAGGCGGUCUGUCGCGUCGGGAGUGAAAACUCAGGGCUUAACCCUGAGCCUGCUUCCGAUACGGGCAGACUAGAGGUAUGCAGGGGAGAACGGAAUUCCUGGUGUAGCGGUGAAAUGCGCAGAUAUCAGGAGGAACACCGGUGGCGAAGGCGGUUCUCUGGGCAUUACCUGACGCUGAGGAGCGAAAGUGUGGGGAGCGAACAGG
Molecule: ribosomal RNA, 253 nt
Filed under: uncultured bacterium
Lineage: Bacteria
Description: partial 16S ribosomal RNA
Rfam family: Bacterial small subunit ribosomal RNA
Source: RNAcentral